Molecule: long non-coding RNA, 648 nt
Filed under: Nicotiana tabacum (common tobacco)
Lineage: Eukaryota; Viridiplantae; Streptophyta; Magnoliopsida; Solanales; Solanaceae
Description: long non-coding RNA (NTAB_LNC002472)
Source: RNAcentral
UGGUGGUGUUACCACUGGAGGGUUGGGUACAAAAGGUGGUGAAACGACUGGGGGUGUUGGUGCUGGUGGUUUUGGAGUGAAAGGGGGUGAAACAACAGGUGGUUUUGGAAUGACUGGUGGUGAAACAACAGGCGGUGUUGGUGCUGGUGGUUUUGGAGUGAAAGGUGGUGAAACAACAGGUGGUUUUGGAAUGACUGGUGGUGAAACAACCGGUGGUGUUGGUGCUGGUGGUUUUGGAGUGACUGGGGGUGAAACAACAGGUGGUGUUGGUGAUGGUGGUUUAGGCACAUAAGGUGGACUGACAGUGGGAGGUGGAUGUACUACUGGUGGUUUUGGGACAUAUGGAGGUUUUACAUGAGGUGGCUUGACAUGUGGAGGUCGGGGUGGAGGGCACGGUUUUGGUGUAGGGUGUUUAGGGGUCUUAGGGGUGGAAGGUGGUUUUACAUGUGGGGGAUAUUUAGGGUGGGUGGGGGUGGAUGGUGGUUUUACAUGAGGGGGAUAUUUAGGGUGGGUGGGGGUGGAAGGUGGUUUUACAUGAGGAGGUUGUUUGGGGUGGUGGGGGGUAGAAGGUGGUUUUACCUUAGGAGAUGGAUGUUUGGGAGGCAAUUUUGGGUGUUUUGGGGUGGAAGGAGGAUAAGGGCAGUAAGG